AUGAACGCUAGCGACAGGCCUAACACAUGCAAGUCAGGGGCAGCACAAGGAGCAAUCUGAGGUGGCGACCGGCGCACGGGUGAGUAACACGUAUGCAACCUGCCUGUAAGCGGGGAAUAACCCGUUGAAAGACGGACUAAUACCGCAUAAUACUAAAUUACUGCAUGGUAAUUUAUUUAAACAUUUAUGGCUUACAGAUGGGCAUGCGCAUGAUUAGCUAGUUGGAGAGGUAACGGCUCCCCAAGGCAACGAUCAUUAGGGGUUCUGAGAGGAAGGUCCCCCCACACUGGUACUGAGACACGGACCAGACUCCUACGGGAGGCAGCAGUGAGGAAUAUUGGUCAAUGGACGAGAGUCUGAACCAGCCAAGUCGCGUGCAGGAAGAAUGUCCCUAUGGAUUGUAAACUGCUUUUGCAGGGGAAUAAAGUGCAUCACGUGUGAUGUUUUGUAUGUACUCUGCGAAUAAGGAUCGGCUAACUCCGUGCCAGCAGCGGC
This 495-nucleotide ribosomal RNA is filed under the name uncultured bacterium. RNAcentral describes it as "bacterial SSU rRNA". It matches the Rfam family "Bacterial small subunit ribosomal RNA", at positions 29 to 518 of the family's 1533-position model. The record is from RNAcentral.